UAGGAAGGGGGCUAGCGUUGCUCGGAAUCACUGGGCGUAAAGGGUGCGUAGGCGGGUCUUUAAGUCAGGGGUGAAAUCCUGGAGCUCAACUCCAGAACUGCCUUUGAUACUGAAGAUCUUGAGUUCGGGAGAGGUGAGUGGAACUGCGAGUGUAGAGGUGAAAUUCGUAGAUAUUCGCAAGAACACCAGUGGCGAAGGCGGCUCACUGGCCCGAUACUGACGCUGAGGCACGAAAGCGUGGGGAGCAAACAGG
This 253-nucleotide ribosomal RNA is filed under the name uncultured bacterium. RNAcentral describes it as "partial 16S ribosomal RNA". It matches the Rfam family "Bacterial small subunit ribosomal RNA", at positions 524 to 776 of the family's 1533-position model. The record is from RNAcentral.